This 72-nucleotide transfer RNA is filed under the name Camelus bactrianus (Bactrian camel). It matches the Rfam family "tRNA". From Rfam's summary of the family: Transfer RNA (tRNA) molecules are approximately 80 nucleotides in length. Their secondary structure includes four short double-helical elements and three loops (D, anti-codon, and T loops). Lineage: Eukaryota; Metazoa; Chordata; Mammalia; Artiodactyla; Camelidae. RNAcentral also lists the same sequence under 2 other names. The record is from Rfam by way of RNAcentral.
GAGGGUAUGGCUCAGUGGUAGAGCGCAUGCUUAGCAUGCACGAGGUCCUGGAUUCAAUCCCCAAUAUCUCCA